Non-coding RNA from Triticum aestivum (bread wheat), 125 nucleotides. The record is from Rfam. NCBI's taxonomy places the organism in Eukaryota, Viridiplantae, Streptophyta, Magnoliopsida, Poales, Poaceae.
GAGAUACUCUAUCCGUCUGAAAAAACUUGUCUCAAGCUUGUCCCUUAAAUGGAUAUAUCUAGCACUAACUUGGUGCUAGAUACAUCCAUUUAAAGACAAGCUUUUUCAGACGAAGGAAGUAUGUG